UCUCCCCCAUUGUGUUUCAUUAAAGGGGUAUUCCCCUUCCGAACAUUUCUAGCAUGUCCACUGGAUGCGGGUCAGAACUCUAGGACAGCAUCAAUCUUAUGUUCUCGGGCUCCCCAGCCUAACUCGACCUGUUAUAUCCGCUAGAGGUGAUGGAAAGUCAGGUUCCUGAGCUGCAGUUUUGUGACUAUUACAGAAGGAACAGUGUUUCGGGUCUUUGCUAGAUUAUUGACUUUGACCAUCUGGCUCACAUUACGAGAGUCUUAGACACAUCUGAUCAUUGGGGAAUUGAGAUGGAGGAUCACUCACCGAAAAUUACAUCUUUUUGUAUAUACUAUUUUAAUUAUAUGCCACUAGGAGCUCAUAUACAGCUUGUAUGCAUUAUGUUUUAAGAACUGUUUUCUUCUGUAAAAUGAGGCCACCUUACUGAAGCACUAAUGCAUUGGGUUGCACUUCUUCAUAUAGUGCCUCCUAGUGCCUCUGAAACCUGGAGUCACUAUCAUUUGAUGGUGUUCCUGGUAGUAAGGGAAUUGGGAUGCUAGGUAUGUGAUGGGGCUCCGCCGCUGCAUGGCUUUACCAUGCGCUGGAUAUAGGGAACUGGAAGAUUGCUGUGCGCCGCUAUAGCUAUAUGUGUGUAGGUGUGCCCACAGUUAAGAUGGCGGAUACACUUUUCUCAUGUGGUUUGCGUAAGCUCGGCCGUGCACUUUACCUGACUUGUUCACAUGACUGCUAGUGAUGCUACUUCUGGCUCUUGCAGUCGGCGUCUGUAACUCCACGGUAAUGGCGUCCUCGGGGCGCUGUAUUCACAUCUUCCUUGUUUCUCAAAUGAUGGCUCCUGGAAGACAUUUAAGGACCGCGGUGCAGUGCCUGACAUCAAUAUAUCAAUGGGGCGGAGCAGCAAUACCAGACAAAACAACAUAGACCAAAGCAGCACUGAGUUGGGUACUAAGGGAGCCCUGGCCCCCUUCUUUCUGAUGAUGAUUGUGGGGUCCGGUGUCACAAAAAUGUCAAGCAUUAAAAGGGUUGCCUGGCCCCACAAACUUCUUGUGCUUCCCAUUUUCAUUUCUACAUGCAGGAAGUGCCUACUUAGUCACUUAGUCAGCCGGUAAUCAGGAAGCCUGCUGUGGGGGUGUCCCUAAUGGCACUCGCUCCGAGGGUGAGAGUGGGUGCCGGGAGCGUGUACCUGUAGCGGGGGCCCCCAGAACUGAGACCGCAGCGGUGGCGGCAGGAUGACAGGCAGGAUGUGCGCAGCAGCAGGAAGUAAGGCCGUGCUUCCUGCUGUUGCCUAGCAACAACAGAAGGCACAACUACAACUCCCAGCAUGCAACUGGACGCACAUUUUUUCUAUGAAAAAGUGUGCCUCCAGCAAAUGCAUAACUACAACCCCCAGCAUGCACAAACUACCAAAGGGCAUG
Molecule: long non-coding RNA, 1412 nt
Organism: Hyla sarda
Lineage: Eukaryota; Metazoa; Chordata; Amphibia; Anura; Hylidae
Exons: 4
Source: RefSeq, a predicted model, not a curated record